Molecule: non-coding RNA, 208 nt
Organism: Oryza glaberrima (African rice)
Lineage: Eukaryota; Viridiplantae; Streptophyta; Magnoliopsida; Poales; Poaceae
Source: Rfam
AAUAAGUGCAGUUUUGCACUGUUCAUCUUCAACGUUUGACCGUUCGUCUUAUUUGAAAAAUUUUUAUGAUUACUAUUUUUAUUGUUAUUAGAUGGUAAAACAUGAAUAGUACUUUAUGUGUGACUAAUUUUUUUAAAUUUUUUUAUAAAUUUUUUAAAUAAGAUGGACGGUUAAAUGUUGGACACGGAUUUCUAUAAUUGUAUUUAUU